AUUGCCCGCAAACAAGUGGAAAUCGCCCAGCAGGAGGGGGCCAAGUAUGUGUCCCACGGCGCCACGGGAAAGGGGAACGAUCAGGUCCGGUUUGAGCUCAGCUGCUACUCACUGGCCCCCCAGAUAAAGGUCAUUGCUCCCUGGAGGAUGCCCGAAUUCUACAACCGGUUCAAGGGCCGCAAUGACCUGAUGGAAUACGCAAAGCAACACGGGAUUCCCAUCCCGGUCACUCCCAAGAACCCAUGGAGCAUGGACGAGAACCUCAUGCACAUCAGCUACGAGGCUGGAAUCCUGGAGAACCCCAAGAACCAAGCGCCUCCAGGUCUCUACACGAAGACCCAGGACCCAGCCAAAGCCCCCAACACCCCUGACAUUCUCGAGAUCGAGUUCAAAAAAGGGGUCCCUGUGAAGGUGACCAACGUCAAGGAUGGCACCACCCACCAGACCUCCUUGGAGCUCUUCAUGUACCUGAACGAAGUCGCGUGAGUGUCUGCAGCCCUGUCCGGCCUCCUGGGAACCGCUGUCUCGGGCGAGCAUGAGCCUGGACCGUUGCAGCUAAUGGUUGUGGCUGAGCCUCAGG
This 580-nucleotide small RNA is filed under the name Pongo abelii (Sumatran orangutan). RNAcentral's name for it is "retained intron". The record is from RNAcentral. Lineage: Eukaryota; Metazoa; Chordata; Mammalia; Primates; Hominidae.